This 76-nucleotide transfer RNA is filed under the name Pseudomonas aeruginosa. RNAcentral describes it as "tRNA-Lys". It matches the Rfam family "tRNA". Rfam says of the family: Transfer RNA (tRNA) molecules are approximately 80 nucleotides in length. Their secondary structure includes four short double-helical elements and three loops (D, anti-codon, and T loops). The record is from RNAcentral. Lineage: Bacteria; Pseudomonadati; Pseudomonadota; Gammaproteobacteria; Pseudomonadales; Pseudomonadaceae.
CGUUCGUUAGCUCAGUCGGUAGAGCAGUUGGCUUUUAACCAAUUGGUCGUAGGUUCGAAUCCUACACGACCCACCA